This 554-nucleotide long non-coding RNA is filed under the name Mytilus galloprovincialis (Mediterranean mussel). Lineage: Eukaryota; Metazoa; Mollusca; Bivalvia; Mytilida; Mytilidae. The record is from RNAcentral.
UUUGACAUUAGGGAACUGAUUUCAAAUAUAAAAUGUAGAUUUGAUAUUAGUGGAACUGAUUUCAAAUAUAAAAUGUAGAUUUGACAUUAGUGGAACUGAUUUCAAAUAUAAAAUACAAAAUGGAAUUUUCAGAUAUAAGAAAGUUUCCGGAUUUAGUAAGAAACAAUGAUAAGAGUGUAAGGGGAUAUGGUAUUAACAGACAACGAAAUCAACAAGCUUUCCGACCCACACCCAGUUCAUCUAGAGUUUUAAAAAAGAAAGAAAAACUGUUUACUUCGAAAGUAGAAUUGAACUACAAGUACUUGUUAAUGGAUGGAAAUAUUUUAAAAUCGACUGAAAAGAAAAACGGUAUGUUUCCGUUGCAUCGCAGCCUAGACGUUCAAUAUAGAAGGCUUAAAAAACAACAUUCCUUAUUCGGAAAUGUAAAACAUAAUCAUACUGAACAUAAAACAGUAAAAUCGGGAGUGAAACAGAGUGACAAACUAGUUCAUCAUAGGAGUGCACCACGAAAUAGGAGUAACCAUUAUAAUGAAGAAGAAAGAAUUAGCCCAAGC